GCCGGGCAUGGUGGUGUGUGCCUGUAAUCCCAGCUACUCAGGAGGCUGAGGCAGGAGGAUCACUUGAACCUGGGAGGCGGAGGUUGUGAUGAGCCAAGAUUGCGCCAUUGCACUCCAGCCUGGGUGACAGAGUGAGACUCUGUCUCAA
This 148-nucleotide non-coding RNA is filed under the name Nomascus leucogenys (northern white-cheeked gibbon). The record is from Rfam by way of RNAcentral. Lineage: Eukaryota; Metazoa; Chordata; Mammalia; Primates; Hylobatidae.